This 725-nucleotide long non-coding RNA is filed under the name Vitis vinifera (wine grape). RNAcentral's name for it is "long non-coding RNA (VVIN_LNC003890)". Lineage: Eukaryota; Viridiplantae; Streptophyta; Magnoliopsida; Vitales; Vitaceae. The record is from RNAcentral.
CCAAACCAUAUUCAAAGUCACAGCACUGCAGAAUAUGGUUUUGUUCCACCAAGUUCAGGUCAGUUGGGUGGAAUCUUAUUAAUACUUCAAGGACACAUUUUCCAAACUUGAUGACUGCCUCUAACCUGAACUAAGUAUUUUUUUUACCAGCUUUGUGUUAAGAAAUUGUGAACGUGUUGGAUCUGCUCAUACAACCUCCCUCCAUGAUGAAUUUUAACUACUCAAUACUUGAAGGAUGGCUACUCAACUGAAUUCUAUUUAUUGGAGCACGAUUUGAGCUUUUCUUCCUUACCCAGGUAUAGUGCUAUAAAAUUUUCAGUCUAAAGAGUAUUUAUAACCCCAUAUGAAUUUUAAUGUCAGAUUCAGUUGAUUAGCAUGUGACCAUUAUUAUUUUCAGAUGGUAGCAUUUUGAAUCAUUGGAACAAUUGCAGGAGGAAGCUUUGCCAAAGCCUCCCUAUGCAAUACAUGGGCCUUUGGUUGCAAGUGAGAUUCGAGGAUUCUAUUUUCUCUUGGAAGACUUCAACUCAUUUUUUUUGAGUUUUGAACUUUGAGCUUUUACUUCCAAGCAUGUGCAAAGAAGAAAGAGAGCAACAACAAAGGUCCGCUUAUAGAAGUUUUAUAUGGAGUGAGACUCCCAUGAAAAAUAUUGUAGCUAUUGGUUUGUCAACCUUGAAGGUUAUAGUUCUGUUUCCCAUUGGAUCUUUAAGGAGUGCGUCUGUUGAAUC